ACGUAGGGUGCGAGCGUUAAUCGGAAUUACUGGGCGUAAAGGGUGCGCAGGCGGUUUUGUAAGACAGAUGUGAAAUCCCCGGGCUUAACCUGGGAACUGCGUUUGUGACUGCAAGGCUAGAGUACGGCAGAGGGGGGUGGAAUUCCGCGUGUAGCAGUGAAAUGCGUAGAUAUGCGGAGGAACACCGAUGGCGAAGGCAACCCCCUGGGCCUGUACUGACGCUCAUGCACGAAAGCGUGGGGAGCAAACAG
This 251-nucleotide ribosomal RNA is filed under the name uncultured prokaryote. RNAcentral's name for it is "partial 16S rRNA". It matches the Rfam family "Bacterial small subunit ribosomal RNA", at positions 525 to 775 of the family's 1533-position model. The record is from RNAcentral.